RNAcentral lists this unclassified non-coding RNA (214 nucleotides) under Candida albicans. Its description in RNAcentral is "partial internal transcribed spacer region". The stretch from base 1 to 46 matches the Rfam family "Eukaryotic small subunit ribosomal RNA", at positions 1786 to 1831 of the family's 1831-position model. Lineage: Eukaryota; Fungi; Ascomycota; Pichiomycetes; Serinales; Debaryomycetaceae. The record is from RNAcentral. RNAcentral also lists the same sequence under 1 other name.
AAGUCGUAACAAGGUUUCCGUAGGUGAACCUGCGGAAGGAUCAUUACUGAUUUGCUUAAUUGCACCACAUGUGUUUUUCUUUGAAACAAACUUGCUUUGGCGGUGGGCCCAGCCUGCCGCCAGAGGUCUAAACUUACAACCAAUUUUUUAUCAACUUGUCACACCAGAUUAUUACUAAUAGUCAAAACUUUCAACAACGGAUCUCUUGGUUCUC